RNAcentral lists this ribosomal RNA (789 nucleotides) under uncultured bacterium. Its description in RNAcentral is "bacterial SSU rRNA". It matches the Rfam family "Bacterial small subunit ribosomal RNA", at positions 74 to 876 of the family's 1533-position model. The record is from RNAcentral.
GAGUAGCAAUAUUUGUCUUCUAGUGGCGAACGGGUGCGUAACGCGUGGGUGACCUGCCCCGAAGCGGGGGAUACCAGCUCGAAAGGGCUGCUAAUCCCCCAUAAGUCCCUGGAGGUUAGAGGCUCCGGGGGGAAAGGCGCAAGCCGCUUUGGGAGGGACCUGCGUCCCAUCAGCUCGUUGGUAGGGUAACGGCCUACCAAGGCGACGACGGGUAGGGGGCCUGAGAGGGUGGCCCCCCACACUGGCACUGAAAUACGGGCCAGACACCUACGGGUGGCAGCAGUAGGGAAUAUUGCACAAUGGGCGCAAGCCUGAUGAAGCAACGCCGCGUGCGCGAUGAAGGCCUUCGGGUCGUAAAGCGCUUUUCGGGGAGAGGAGGAAGGACCGUAUCCCCGGAAUAAGUCUCGGCUAACUACGUGCCAGCAGCCGCGGUAAAACGUAGGAGGCAAGCGUUAUCCGAAUUUACUGGGCGUAGAGCGUGUGCAGGUGGCUGGGUAAGUUGGAUGUGAAAUCUCCUGGCUCAACUGGGAGAGGUCGUUCAAAACUGCCGAGCUAGAGGGCGGUAGAGGGAGGUGGAAUUCCGGGUGUAGUGGUGAAAUGCGUAGAUAUCCGGAGGAACACCUGUGGCGAAAGCGGCCUCCUGGACCGUACCUGACGCUAAGACACGAAAGCUAGGGGAGCGAACGGGAUUAGAAACCCCGGUAGUCCUAGCUGUAAACGAUGUGGACUGGGUGUCGGUGGGGUAAAAGCCAUCGGUGCCGAAGCUAACGCGUUAAGUCCACCGCCUGG